AAUUUGCGUUAGGGAUUGAAGUGGCAUCCUUUUUUGUUUUCUCAAAAAAGAUAUAAUGUAAAGCCCGACCUUUA
This 74-nucleotide small RNA is filed under the name Polaribacter dokdonensis DSW-5. Its description in RNAcentral is "Flavo-1 RNA". It matches the Rfam family "Flavo-1 RNA". The record is from RNAcentral. Lineage: Bacteria; Pseudomonadati; Bacteroidota; Flavobacteriia; Flavobacteriales; Flavobacteriaceae.